This is a long non-coding RNA of Dermacentor silvarum, 1129 nucleotides long. RefSeq lists it as uncharacterized. NCBI's taxonomy places the organism in Eukaryota, Metazoa, Arthropoda, Arachnida, Ixodida, Ixodidae. The record is from RefSeq and is a predicted model, not a curated record. The transcript is spliced from 4 exons.
AUGAGACAGUGACGGCGGUUAUUCUCCCGUGAAAUUCGAAGGAAACCUGCAGGGUUGAACGCAUAUAUAAUUGCGAAAAGCCUUCCCGCUAUUUUGUGUCAGCGAGUUCCACAGAAGCUGCCUGGAAAGACCGUGUGCUGAAGGAGUCCACGUCACCUGCCGGGAACAGGAGAACCAAGGGACAUGCUGCGAGCUACUGUGUUUGUCGUGUUAAUUUGUGGUUCGGUGCUUUAUAGCAGUACGGCCUUGAAAUCAGCGCCUAAGUGCACCAAGCCGGAUUGUUACAGACAGCCAAAUGGACAGAAUACAACCUGUACGAACCCAUGCGAGGCAUACUUCUGCAAGAAUGGAGAUCUCGUGACUCUAAAGUGCGUAGGAGCAGACGACCCUCUCUGCAAGCUCCUUACGGAGGUACUGGACCGUAUCCUGAUUGUUGUGGCCCAGUGAUGUGCAGCAAAUCCUCAGGAAAGAGCAGAUCUCGAAGGCUUUAAAUGACUUCGAGACCGCGGUCUAAAGAAAACUUGAAGGAUACAAGUUCACAAUGACUGAGCCCAAGCGACCAAGAGGGUGCACCAGGAAGUGUACGGAAGAUCAGACAGUUCCAGUCUCGUGUUUGUCUUGCAUUUCAUUUAUGUGACAAUUCCAUUACCUCACCAUUUGAAGAAAGUUUUAUUUCAUAUAGUUUUGACUACAAAUGACAUGCGACUGUUUCUGUUACACCACCCGAUUCCCAUCAAAAAAUAAAAAUAAAAGAUGGCUUCUUGAAGAUUACCGAGAAUGCCAAAAGGUGUAUGAUCGUAUGGGUCGGCAGCUGGAGCGACUAGGUACAAAGCGCUGGCAGGAAUUCUGCACUUCACUCACUCCCUUUACACCUGAAUCAAAAUUAUGGAAUGUUCUGCGCUCUUUAAGUGGACCAGUAACGCACCAACAGCCAUUCAGAGCACUAGCUUUAGUCCAGAAAGUACCGGAAACAACUAUAGCAAAUGAGUUUUGUCAGCUUAUUACUCGCCCAAGUGCAGCAGUAAACACAUCUGAAUACAGUAAUUCUGUCGAAGAAGUCAAAGCAUCGAUCAAUUUUUCUAUUAGAAGCGAUCAUCAUGACCUAGAUCAACCGUUUUCACUAGAAGAA